AUUGAACGCUGGCGGCAUGCCUUACACAUGCAAGUCGAACGACAGCACGGGUGCUUGCACCUGGUGGCGAGUGGCGAACGGGUGAGUAAUACAUCGGAACAUGUCCUGUAGUGGGGGAUAGCCCGGCGAAAGCCGGAUUAAUACCGCAUACGAUCUACGGAUGAAAGCGGGGGACCUUCGGGCCUCGCGCUAUAGGGUUGGCCGAUGGCUGAUUAGCUAGUUGGUGGGGUAAAGGCCUACCAAGGCGACGAUCAGUAGCUGGUCUGAGAGGACGACCAGCCACACUGGGACUGAGACACGGCCCAGACUCCUACGGGAGGCAGCAGUGGGGAAUUUUGGACAAUGGGCGAAAGCCUGAUCCAGCAAUGCCGCGUGUGUGAAGAAGGCCUUCGGGUUGUAAAGCACUUUUGUCCGGAAAGAAAUCCUUGGCCCUAAUACGGUCGGGGGAUGACGGUACCGGAAGAAUAAGCACCGGCUAACUACGUG
This 486-nucleotide ribosomal RNA is filed under the name uncultured bacterium. RNAcentral's name for it is "partial 16S ribosomal RNA". It matches the Rfam family "Bacterial small subunit ribosomal RNA", at positions 30 to 507 of the family's 1533-position model. The record is from RNAcentral.